GGGUUGUGAGGUUAAGCGACUAAGCGUACACGGUGGAUGCCCUGGCAGUCAGAGGCGAUGAAGGGCGUGCUAAUCUGCGAUAAGCGCCGGUAAGGUGAUAUGAACCGUUAUAACCGGCGAUACCCGAAUGGGGAAACCCAGUGUGACUCGUCACACUAUCAUUAACUGAAUCCAUAGGUUAAUGAGGCGAACCGGGGGAACUGAAACAUCUAAGUACCCCGAGGAAAAGAAAUCAACCGAGAUUCCCCCAGUAGCGGCGAGCGAACGGGGAGGAGCCCAGAGCCUGAAUCAGCAUGUGUGUUAGUGGAAGCGUCUGGAAAGGCGCGCGAUACAGGGUGACAGCCCCGUACACAAAAGCGCAUGUGUUGUGAGCUCGAUGAGUAGGGCGGGACACGUGGUAUCCUGUCUGAAUAUGGGGGGACCAUCCUCCAAGGCUAAAUACUCCUGACUGACCGAUAGUGAACCAGUACCGUGAGGGAAAGGCGAAAAGAACCCCGGCGAGGGGAGUGAAAAAGAACCUGAAACCGUGUACGUACAAGCAGUGGGAGCACCCUUUUGGGUGUGACUGCGUACCUUUUGUAUAAUGGGUCAGCGACUUAUAUUCUGUAGCAAGGUUAACCGAAUAGGGGAGCCGGAGGGAAACCGAGUCUUAACCGGGCGUUAAGUUGCAGGGUAUAGACCCGAAACCCGGUGAUCUAGCCAUGGGCAGGUUGAAGGUUGGGUAACACUAACUGGAGGACCGAACCGACUAAUGUUGAAAAAUUAGCGGAUGACCUGUGGCUGGGGGUGAAAGGCCAAUCAAACCGGGAGAUAGCUGGUUCUCCCCGAAAGCUAUUUAGGUAGCGCCUCGUGAAUUCAUCUCCGGGGGUAGAGCACUGUUUCGGCUAGGGGGCCAUCCCGGCUUACCAACCCGAUGCAAACUGCGAAUACCGGAGAAUGUUAUCACGGGAGACACACGGCGGGUGCUAACGUCCGUCGUGAAGAGGGAAACAACCCAGACCGCCAGCUAAGGUCCCAAAGUCAUGGUUAAGUGGGAAACGAUGUGGGAAGGCCCAGACAGCCAGGAUGUUGGCUUAGAAGCAGCCAUCAUUUAAAGAAAGCGUAAUAGCUCACUGGUCGAGUCGGCCUGCGCGGAAGAUGUAACGGGGCUAAACCAUGCACCGAAGCUGCGGCAGCGACACUGUGUGUUGUUGGGUAGGGGAGCGUUCUGUAAGCCUGUGAAGGUGUGUCGUGAGGCAUGCUGGAGGUAUCAGAAGUGCGAAUGCUGACAUAAGUAACGAUAAAGCGGGUGAAAAGCCCGCUCGCCGGAAGACCAAGGGUUCCUGUCCAACGUUAAUCGGGGCAGGGUGAGUCGACCCCUAAGGCGAGGCCGAAAGGCGUAGUCGAUGGGAAACGGGUUAAUAUUCCCGUACUUGGUGUUACUGCGAAGGGGGGACGGAGAAGGCUAUGUUGGCCGGGCGACGGUUGUCCCGGUUUAAGCGUGUAGGUGUGUGUUCCAGGUAAAUCCGGUUCACUUUAACACUGAGGCGUGAUGACGAGGCACUACGGUGCUGAAGCAACAAAUGCCCUGCUUCCAGGAAAAGCCUCUAAGCAUCAGGUAACAUCAAAUCGUACCCCAAACCGACACAGGUGGUCAGGUAGAGAAUACCAAGGCGCUUGAGAGAACUCGGGUGAAGGAACUAGGCAAAAUGGUGCCGUAACUUCGGGAGAAGGCACGCUGACACGUAGGUGAAGUGAUUUACUCAUGGAGCUGAAGUCAGUCGAAGAUACCAGCUGGCUGCAACUGUUUAUUAAAAACACAGCACUGUGCAAACACGAAAGUGGACGUAUACGGUGUGACGCCUGCCCGGUGCCGGAAGGUUAAUUGAUGGGGUCAGCGCAAGCGAAGCUCCUGAUCGAAGCCCCGGUAAACGGCGGCCGUAACUAUAACGGUCCUAAGGUAGCGAAAUUCCUUGUCGGGUAAGUUCCGACCUGCACGAAUGGCGUAAUGAUGGCCAGGCUGUCUCCACCCGAGACUCAGUGAAAUUGAACUCGCUGUGAAGAUGCAGUGUACCCGCGGCAAGACGGAAAGACCCCGUGAACCUUUACUAUAGCUUGACACUGAACAUUGAGCCUUGAUGUGUAGGAUAGGUGGGAGGCUUUGAAGUGUGGACGCCAGUCUGCAUGGAGCCGACCUUGAAAUACCACCCUUUAAUGUUUGAUGUUCUAACGUGGACCCGUGAUCCGGGUUGCGGACAGUGUCUGGUGGGUAGUUUGACUGGGGCGGUCUCCUCCUAAAGAGUAACGGAGGAGCACGAAGGUUGGCUAAUCCUGGUCGGACAUCAGGAGGUUAGUGCAAUGGCAUAAGCCAGCUUGACUGCGAGCGUGACGGCGCGAGCAGGUGCGAAAGCAGGUCAUAGUGAUCCGGUGGUUCUGAAUGGAAGGGCCAUCGCUCAACGGAUAAAAGGUACUCCGGGGAUAACAGGCUGAUACCGCCCAAGAGUUCAUAUCGACGGCGGUGUUUGGCACCUCGAUGUCGGCUCAUCACAUCCUGGGGCUGAAGUAGGUCCCAAGGGUAUGGCUGUUCGCCAUUUAAAGUGGUACGCGAGCUGGGUUUAGAACGUCGUGAGACAGUUCGGUCCCUAUCUGCCGUGGGCGCUGGAGAACUGAGGGGGGCUGCUCCUAGUACGAGAGGACCGGAGUGGACGCAUCACUGGUGUUCGGGUUGUCAUGCCAAUGGCACUGCCCGGUAGCUAAAUGCGGAAGAGAUAAGUGCUGAAAGCAUCUAAGCACGAAACUUGCCCCGAGAUGAGUUCUCCCUGAGACUUAAAGUCUCCUGAAGGAACGUUGAAGACGACGACGUUGAUAGGCCGGGUGUGUAAGCGCAGCGAUGCGUUGAGCUAACCGGUACUAAUGAACCGUGAGGCUUAACCUUACAACGCCGAAG
RNAcentral lists this ribosomal RNA (2926 nucleotides) under Salmonella enterica subsp. enterica serovar Newport str. CDC 2012K-0938. Its description in RNAcentral is "23S ribosomal RNA". It matches the Rfam family "Bacterial large subunit ribosomal RNA". Lineage: Bacteria; Pseudomonadati; Pseudomonadota; Gammaproteobacteria; Enterobacterales; Enterobacteriaceae. The record is from RNAcentral.